This 447-nucleotide ribosomal RNA is filed under the name uncultured bacterium. Its description in RNAcentral is "SSU rRNA". It matches the Rfam family "Bacterial small subunit ribosomal RNA", at positions 26 to 518 of the family's 1533-position model. The record is from RNAcentral.
AGAACGAACGCUGGCGGCAGGCCUAAUACAUGCAAGUCGAACGCACUCUUCGGAGUGAGUGGCAGACGGGUGAGUAACGCGUGGGAACCUUCCCAAUGGUACGGAAUAACUCCGGGAAACCGGUGCUAAUACCGUAUAAGCCCCUCGGGGGAAAGAUUUAUCGCCAUUGGAUGGGCCCGCGUCGGAUUAGCUAGUUGGUAAGGUAAUGGCUUACCAAGGCUACGAUCCGUAGCUGGUCUGAGAGGAUGAUCAGCCACACUGGGACUGAGACACGGCCCAGACUCCUACGGGAGGCAGCAGUAGGGAAUCUUGGACAAUGGGCGAAAGCCUGAUCCAGCCAUGCCGCGUGAGUGAAGAAGGCCUUAGGGUUGUAAAGCUCGUUUUGGCGGGGACGAGUAAUGACGGUACCGCAGAAUAACGCCCGGCUAACUUCGUGCCAGCAGCCGC